This 482-nucleotide ribosomal RNA is filed under the name uncultured bacterium. RNAcentral's name for it is "partial 16S ribosomal RNA". It matches the Rfam family "Bacterial small subunit ribosomal RNA", at positions 28 to 507 of the family's 1533-position model. The record is from RNAcentral.
GACGAACGCUGGCGGCGUGCUUAACACAUGCAAGUCGAACGAUGAAGAAGAGAAACGCGAACUUCGGUUCAAAUUUCACUUCGGAUUAGUGGCAGACGGGUGAGUAACGCGUGAGCAACCUACCUCUUACAAAGGGAUAGCCUCGGGAAACCGUGAUUAGUACCAUAUGACACAUUCAUAAGGCAUCUUAAGAAUGUUAAAGCUACGGCGGUAAGAGAUGGGCUCGCGUCCCAUUAGCUAGUUGGUGAGGUAACGGCCCACCAAGGCGACGAUGGGUAACCGGCCUGAGAGGGUGAACGGUCACAUUGGAACUGAGACACGGUCCAAACUCCUACGGGAGGCAGCAGUGGGGAAUAUUGCACAAUGGAGGGAACUCUGAUGCAGCGACGCCGCGUGAGCGAUGAAGGAAUUCGUUUCGUAAAGCUCUGUUCUAUGGGAAGAAAAGGACUGUACCAUAGGAGAAAGCCCCGGCUAAAUACGUG